GACGAACGCUGGCGGCGUGCUUAGCACAUGCAAGUCGAACGGAAAGACCCCCAUCUUGGUGGUGUUGCUCGAGUGGCGAACGGGUGAGUAACAUGUGGGUGAAAUUCCCUGUAGGUCGGGAUAAACUUGUGAAACUGGGUCUAAUACCCGAUUGGAGCAUCGUGUAGUGUCUCAUGGAGGAUAGAUUAUUGUGUUGGUGCAGGAUGAGCGCGCGGCGUAUCAGGUUGUUGGUGUGGUAAUGGCCUACCAAGGCGUCGACUGGUAGUCGGCCUGUGAGGGUCGACGGUGAAAUUGAGACAGAGAUACGGCUCCGACUGGUACGGGAGGCAGCAGUGGUGGAUCUUGCAGCAUGGGCGCAAUGCUGACGCAGCGACUCCGUGUAGGAGAUGACGGGGUUGGGGUGGUCAACUCCUGUCGUUAGGGACGAUGAAACGAUUAUCGGGUGUGGUGACCGUACCCUGGAUAAGAAGCACCGGCUAACUACGUG
This 487-nucleotide ribosomal RNA is filed under the name uncultured bacterium. RNAcentral describes it as "partial 16S ribosomal RNA". It matches the Rfam family "Bacterial small subunit ribosomal RNA", at positions 28 to 507 of the family's 1533-position model. The record is from RNAcentral.